RNAcentral lists this small nuclear RNA (106 nucleotides) under Neotoma lepida (desert woodrat). The record is from RNAcentral. Lineage: Eukaryota; Metazoa; Chordata; Mammalia; Rodentia; Cricetidae.
GUGCUUGCUUCGGCAGCANGAAUACUAAAACUGUAGUGAUACAAAGAAGAUUAGCAUGGCUNCGUGCAAGGAUGACAUGCAUAUUUGUGAUGCAUUCCAUAUUUUU